This 315-nucleotide ribosomal RNA is filed under the name uncultured bacterium. Its description in RNAcentral is "bacterial SSU rRNA". It matches the Rfam family "Bacterial small subunit ribosomal RNA", at positions 28 to 335 of the family's 1533-position model. The record is from RNAcentral.
GAUGAACGCUGGCGGCGUGCCUAACACAUGCAAGUCGAGCGCGACUGAUUUGAUGCUUGCAUCAUUGAAAGUUGAGCGGCGGACGGGUGAGUAACGCGUGGGUAACCUGCCCUAUACACAUGGAUAACAUACUGAAAAGUUUACUAAUACAUGAUAAUGUAUAUUUACGGCAUCGUAGAUAUAUCAAAGUGUUAGCGGUAUAGGAUGGACCCGCGUCUGAUUAGCUAGUUGGUGAGAUAACUGCCCACCAAGGCGACGAUCAGUAGCCGACCUGAGAGGGUGAUCGGCCACAUUGGAACUGAGACACGGUCCAAA